RNAcentral lists this ribosomal RNA (332 nucleotides) under uncultured bacterium. Its description in RNAcentral is "partial 16S ribosomal RNA". It matches the Rfam family "Bacterial small subunit ribosomal RNA", at positions 338 to 667 of the family's 1533-position model. The record is from RNAcentral.
CCUACGGGGGGCAGCAGUGAGGAAUAUUGGUCAAUGGGCGGAAGCCUGAACCAGCCAAGUAGCGUGCAGGAUGACGGCCCUACGGGUUGUAAACUGCUUUUAUACGGGAAUAAAGCGCCUUACGUGUCGGGCUUUGCAUGUACCGUAUGAAUAAGGACCGGCUAAUUCCGUGCCAGCAGCCGCGGUAAUACGGAAGGUCCGGGCGUUAUCCGGAUUUAUUGGGUUUAAAGGGAGCGUAGGCCGGAUGUUAAGUGUGCUGUGAAAUGUCCGGGCGCAACCCGGGGCUUGCAUUGCAAACUGGCGUGCUUGAGUCCUCGGAAGGCAGGCGGAAU